RNAcentral lists this non-coding RNA (87 nucleotides) under unclassified sequences. The record is from RNAcentral.
AUAUAUCUGCCACCGGGUAGAGAAUGCGGGGCAUUCGCCGGCAUAUCGUUAGGUCUUAGAAGAUAUGUCAGCGGAUGCUUUUUGUUU